RNAcentral lists this ribosomal RNA (460 nucleotides) under uncultured bacterium. RNAcentral describes it as "partial 16S ribosomal RNA". It matches the Rfam family "Bacterial small subunit ribosomal RNA", at positions 338 to 795 of the family's 1533-position model. The record is from RNAcentral.
CCUACGGGAGGCAGCAGUGAGGAAUAUUGGUCAAUGGGCGUAAGCCUGAACCAGCCAAGUCGCGUGAAGGAAGAAGGAUCUAUGGUUUGUAAACUUCUUUUAUAGGGGAAUAAAGGUAUCCACGUGUGGAUAUUUGCAUGUACCCUAUGAAUAAGCAUCGGCUAACUCCGUGCCAGCAGCCGCGGUAAUACGGAGGAUACGAGCGUUAUCCGGAUUUAUUGGGUUUAGAGGGAGCGUAGGUUGUUUUUUAAGUCAGCGGUGAAAGUUUGUGGCUCAACCAUAAAAUUGCCGUUGAUACUGGCAGUCUUGAGUGUGUUUGAGGUAGGCGGAAUGCGUGGUGUAGCGGUGAAAUGCAUAGAUAUCACGAAGAACUCCGAUUGCGAAGGCAGCUUACUAAGCCAUAACUGACACUGAAGCACGAAAGCGUGGGUAUCAAACAGGAUUAGAUACCCUAGUAGUC